Nematostella vectensis (starlet sea anemone) is the source of this 539-nucleotide long non-coding RNA. RefSeq lists it as uncharacterized. The record is from RefSeq and is a predicted model, not a curated record. NCBI's taxonomy places the organism in Eukaryota, Metazoa, Cnidaria, Anthozoa, Actiniaria, Edwardsiidae. The transcript has 2 exons.
AUGUGAAAGUCCGGGGUUCAACUGCCUCUUCAAGAUUAAGACUGUGAUUGACCACGUUCUGGGGAAAAUCAAGGCCAGCUACCAACCAAGAAGAGACCUCUGCAGACGAAGGGAUGAUUGGCUUUCAAGGAAGACUGUCCUUCAAGCAAUACAUGCCCGCGAGGCCGACAAAGUACAGGAUUAAGGUUUGGAUGUGUGCCGAUGCAAGUAAUGGAGACAGUGGUGGGAAAAUUAAGGGGAGAGAAGAUCCGAAAGCAACUAGAAUUUCGCAGGAAACUCAUGCACGGACUCAUCGCAGGAUUUUCAUCACUGACCAUAGAGAAUGCCGAAGGACACCCCAUCAAGAAGAUAGACGGCAGAAAGAAUGUGUCCACUGCUAGAAAAUCGGGGAAAAGACACCACACCAAAAGGACGAGCGAUGGAAACGCAUUACAAGUGCGCCCAAUGCACUGUCGCGUUGUGCCGGGAUGGAUGCUUCCGCGACUACCACGCCAUCCGAUAAAACUCACAACUUCACCGAUGUCAUGAAAGCUUCUUUG